GACAGAGGUGCCAAGCGUUAGGCGGAAUCACUGGGCUUAAAGCGUGUGUAGGUGGAUUUGUAAGUACCUUGUGAAAUCCCAUGGCUCAACCAUGGAACUGCUCGGUAUACUGCGAAUCUUGAGCCACUUAGGGGCUACCGGAACAAAUGGUGGAGCGGUGAAAUGCGUAGAUAUCGAGAGGAACACCUGCGGCGAAGGCGGGUUGCUGGGCUGACACUGACGCUGAACUGCGAAAGCUAGGGGAGCGAACGGG
Molecule: ribosomal RNA, 253 nt
Filed under: uncultured bacterium
Lineage: Bacteria
Description: partial 16S ribosomal RNA
Rfam family: Bacterial small subunit ribosomal RNA
Source: RNAcentral